GUGCACCAGGCGAGAAACCUCCGCAAUACACGAAAGUGUGACGGGGCCAUCCCGAGUGCCGUCCGCUGAGGACGGCUUUUCCCCAGUGUACACAGCUGGGGGAAUAAGGAGAGGGCAAGCCUGGUGUCAGCCGCCGCGGUAAUACCAGCUCUCCGAGUGGUGGGGACGCUUAUUGGGCCUAAAGCAUCCGUAGCCGGCUGGGCAAGUCCUCCGUUAAAUCCAACGAUUCAAUCGUUGGGCUGCGGGGGAUACUGUCCAGCUUGGGGGCGGGGAGAGGCCGACGGUAUUCCCGGGGUAGGGGUGAAAUCCUAUAAUCCCGGGAGGACCACCAGUGGCGAAGGCUGUCGGCUAGAACGCGCCCGACGGUGAGGGAUGAAAGCUGGGGGGAGCGAACCGGAUUAGGAUACCCCGUAGUCCC
This 418-nucleotide ribosomal RNA is filed under the name uncultured microorganism. RNAcentral describes it as "bacterial SSU rRNA". It matches the Rfam family "Archaeal small subunit ribosomal RNA", at positions 330 to 748 of the family's 1478-position model. The record is from RNAcentral.